This 275-nucleotide long non-coding RNA is filed under the name Carica papaya (papaya). RNAcentral describes it as "long non-coding RNA (CPAP_LNC007263)". Lineage: Eukaryota; Viridiplantae; Streptophyta; Magnoliopsida; Brassicales; Caricaceae. The record is from RNAcentral.
GAUAGUGAAUUCGCGACACAUUUUAGCUUCUCUGACCCAAAUCGAACCGGAACGACGGUAUCCGGAUUAGGGACAGCCCUAACCCUAAAUUGAACGGAGUUGUGUCUUCUUCGCUGUCACUCUUUUGCUUUGUGCGAGAAACAAAGACGAAAUGGGGGCGCGUGGAGUAGGAAGCGAAUCUACGUGCAAUCGUUGCACGGCUAUACCAAAAUUAAAUUUUUUAUUUUUAAAAUAUGAAUAAAAAAUUAAUUUUACAAAUUAUUAUAUGAGUCACC